Podarcis muralis (Common wall lizard) is the source of this 2972-nucleotide non-coding RNA. Lineage: Eukaryota; Metazoa; Chordata; Lepidosauria; Squamata; Lacertidae. The record is from RefSeq and is a predicted model, not a curated record.
CUGCCUCCUAAGCAUGGUUUACUAAGACAGAUAGAUGGAAACCCCCUUAAUUUACAGUUAAUUUAAUUUGGGAGCUUAGGGGUAACUUUGAAUAUUGCAGGAGGCAAUUAGCAAGAAAUAAAUGGGCAACUUGUACAUUUCUCCCAUGGUGAGAUGCCCAUGGGGUGCCCAUAGCAGGUAACGAGAGGUGUGUAAGUGCCCUUUUUAGUUGUUAGAUGGGAACUGUGGGGAGUGAACAGACAGUUCAGCUGCACAUCCUCUAUUGCCAACAUUACCAUUUUUUAAGAUAUGUGAAACUACUCUAAGGAUGUGGACUUAUUUAGCAGAAAUAUAACAAAAAUAAUUAAGUUUUAAUUCUGGAUAAACAUGCUGUAGGACUAAUAUGUAAAUACUACAGCAGCAUAAUCCUACUAAACACGUUACGUCAGAAAGAAAUUAUACUCUGCAUGCGUGCAAAGGACUGCAGCCUUACAGAACAAUCCUAUGCCUCUUUCAAAAGUAAGCCCCACUGAUUUCAGUGCGUAUUACUGCCUCCCAGACAGUGAGGGUGUAAAAUUAUUGGACUGGAACCUUAAUGUUCCAAAUUUGGUGAACAUUCACAGUGCCAAAUUUUGGGAACAUUGAAACCAGAUUUCUGAUUCAUCACUUUUAGUGACUGAUAGCAACAUGUAGAUUAUUUGUUACAUCUACUGAUACCUCUGAGUUUUCAGACAUUCACAAUAUUCAUUAUUUGUCAUCUUUCACUGAAUUUCAGGUGUUUACUCUCACAAAUAUUAUAAAGAGGGAAGUAUCACCUACAGCUAAAUGGCAGCUUUAUCUACAUCAUGGAUCCUUUUUCAUUGAACUAACUUCCCUCAGGGAUGCCAUGUGGAAUUUAAGUAGGACCAUGUUGUCAACUGCCUUAAGAAAAGUGCAUUCCUUACCAUCAAAGGCAAGACAAAGAAUUCCAGAAGAGCUGCACAUGUGCCAAAGCAAGCUUGCCCUCAGCCAGGUCUCAGUGAAAAAUACCCAGCCAGUAUGGGCACCAGCCAUAUAUAGAUCCCACAGGGCCACUCUUCUCUUUCCAUGAUACAGGCUACUCCUGCUUGCACCAGUUGGUUUAUACACGUGAAAAGAGGAACCUUCAAUUUGACCAAUCCACAUUGCAUUUACGGGAGCAAGAAACUGGACGAAGUGGAAGCAGCUUACAAUAAACGGUAGCAAAUGAAGUGGAUUUCCAUUGGCUUUAAUACGAUGAGCCACAAAUCUCACCAGCCACAGUGUGAAACAGCAGCGUUCAGUUCCAUCACUUCAGGAAGCCAGGAGCGUCGUGUGCUGAUCUAUGACGUGCCCGUGAGUGACUGGAGCCACGGCUUUCAGAAGCGUAUGGGGAAGCCCAGCAACCUGUACCCCUAAACAUCGGCUCCUAGAGACUGGGGCAUCCUCUAGAACAGACUAGCAUGUGGCGUGGAAGGCUGCAGCAAGAAGGGCAGAUUUCCAAAGACCAGGGCUCCCAGGAUGAGAACAAAAGAGUCAUCCACUUGUACGCCGUCACCUUGGAUUCCACAUCAUAUACCCAACACAGAGGAUACUUGUGGACCUAUCUUUGAGAAGAAGGUUGGGAUUCCUGAUUCAUCGACUGGGCCAAUCCCUGCAUAAUGUGGUGCUUUAAUGACUGUGACUUUCUUCUCUUCCUCUGAAGUUCUGCAGAUUGGUAUUGUGCUGGUGGUACUGCUGCCGCCAACAGAAUGAGCAUGCUGAGAACCAGGCUUGAAUUGAGUGAGACUGGUGGGGAAUAUCCUGAAGGGGAAAAAGGCCUUUGAAAGUGGCUCAUGGGACUGGUUGCUGAACUAGAGUUCCCAUUCACUGUUAUCUGAGCCUGAGAGGUAGAAAAGAAACAAAGCAAAAAUCACAUCCCAGUAAAUUAAUUGUAGAACUGUCCAAAUCCUACCAUCCAUGUACAAAAGGUGAAGAAUGAAUUGCUAUCCCUAUAGCAAAGAUCCAGCUGUCAGAUUCUUAGCUAUAACAGUCCGUGUUCAGGAUUAUGUCCCCUAUGCAACCCUGUUCUAUUCCCCCUACAAAAAACAGCAUGCUGGAAUUAUGGGAAGGCAUCAAGAAAGUCUUAGGUCAGAGCAGUACAAAAUGAAAGAGACAGUAAAACUUGCACUUCCAAUUUUCUCUUGAAGGCAAUUUUCUCUUCCAUUUCCAAGUGCUUAAAUCUUAUUGCCAUUCACUUGAAGACAAAGAAAAAAGAUGCCAGCAAGAAGAGCUGAAAUCUCCUUCAAAUAUUGUGGCCAGAAUCUGGAUGCAAACUAGAUGUGAUGGUCAAGUUUAACCCACAGCAUGUUCUAAAAAUAUAAUACAUGGCCAAAGUAAUCCAUUGUUAUGUGAUUAACAUCCUAGGCAAUAAAUUCUGUCACACAUCUUGCCUUUUUUGUGGGGGGGGGGGGAAUAAGUCACUGCCAAUAUUUGGGCAUGCUUUGAUUUAUUAAGAUCACACAGCUGCUGUUUUUCAAACCACUUAACAUGCUGCUUUAUAAAAUGAGAAUAAUGAGUAGCACUGAAAAGCUUUUUUUCAGUGCAUGUCUACUCAGAAAUCAACCCCAUUAACUUCAAUGGGGUUUGGCUCAUUUGUAAGUAUGUGUGGGAUUGCAGCCUUAGAAACCAAUGGCUAUAGAUGAAGAAACCUUACUUUGUGUGAUGCACCAACUUGCUUUUCCUUAGCACUUCUGGUUGACUUGUAACCUUACGUAUAGCAAGGAGGUCACAUCCUGAAGUCAUGCAAACUUUCUAACCUUGUACCCAUUUACUUGGAUUAAAAUCCCACUGAGUUCUAGCAUUCUGGUUAAGUAUACCAAAGAUUCCAUUUAAAUUUGUCAUGUUAACCCUUACAGCAUGAUACUGGAUUAUAACGGCUUUUCAUUCAGAAAAGUCUUCUAGAAUCUACUGUUUUAUUAUCUUGUAAUACAGUGACCUAUAAAAUAUUAGGCAUA